UACGUAGGGUGCGAGCGUUGUCCGGAAUUACUGGGCGUAAAGGGCUCGUAGGCGGCCAACUAAGUCGGACGUGAAAUCCCCAGGCUCAACCUGGGAACUGCGUCCGAUACUGGAUGGCUUGAAUUCGGGAGAGGGAUGCAGAAUUCCAGGUGUAGCGGUGAAAUGCGUAGAUAUCUGGAGGAAUACCGGUGGCGAAGGCGGCAUCCUGGACCGGCAUUGACGCUGAGGAGCGAAAGCCAGGGGAGCGAACAGG
This 253-nucleotide ribosomal RNA is filed under the name uncultured bacterium. Its description in RNAcentral is "partial 16S ribosomal RNA". It matches the Rfam family "Bacterial small subunit ribosomal RNA", at positions 524 to 776 of the family's 1533-position model. The record is from RNAcentral.